Molecule: long non-coding RNA, 1116 nt
Organism: Alligator sinensis (Chinese alligator)
Lineage: Eukaryota; Metazoa; Chordata; Crocodylia; Alligatoridae
Exons: 4
Source: RefSeq, a predicted model, not a curated record
AUCCAGAUCUCCAUCCGCUCUCAGCAGCAUGGACCUGUCUCUAAGCUAUGGAGAUGGGAGAGGUCACUGGCCAUUCUUGUUGGUGUCUCCCCUGGAGACUUAAAUGGUGUUUGCUAUCUGGGCCAACCCUGAGAACUGAGCUGGGGACCCUGGGAGCUGAAAACCUGAUAUAUGGACUCUGAGGGCUGUAACAGACUCAUGACCUUCAUGGCUGGACUCCAAGGAAGAUUCAGAAGACACGGGAGCAGAAUAAAUAUAUAGUUGUUCUGGUGCUGAAGAAAUCCUGUGACCUGAGUGUAAGCACCCAGCAGAAUCACUGCCACACUUGGAACAUCUACAUGCCCUAAUCAUCUCUUACAGCAUGCUUGGCCAAACUCCCCGGUGGUGUAAGCUGAUGCCGUCCCAUCGGAGCGGAUGGAGCCGUGCCAGCCGAGGCCAGCGCAGGAUUUGGCCGCGUGUCCCUGCCUGGAAUCUUCUAGGUCCUGAGUCACACCGGGCUGCGGCGCUGCUCGUCUUCCAGCCUGCAGGCUCGAAAAUCUUGGCAAGGUGGACGGAGGAGUUAUCACAGGCUGGCUGAUAGCACGGACACCCCUUGCUGGAUGCUUUCAUGGUGGAGGACAUCUUUGUUCAUCUGAGGCUCUGAGUGCACUGGGAGCUGUACGGUGCUGGGAGAUGGGGGACACCUCUGCUUUGUGUCUCCUCCCCUAGAGUCGGCCAUCUCCAUGUGAAUGAAGACAGUCCAGAUCAGCCAGUGAUUGUACAUGGAAGCAGCAAAUCCUCUUCUGUGCCAGCAUCCAGUGAGAUCUGGUUCUCUUAUCCAGAUUUCAUCAAUCCCUCUGAGUGUCCCCUGACACCUCACGCUGAUCCCCCCCAACCCCACUUCUUCCCACCCCUGCCCCUCCCCCUCCCCUUAAUGAAUCCCCCCCAUUAUAUAAUUGUGCUCAAAAAAAUAAAGGAAAUAAAGCACGAAUGUCUCUGACAGGCUUGAGCAAAAUAAAUAGAUGCAGCCCAAACCAAACCUUCCACGCUUCUGCAAGCUCCUUUGUUCAGGAAGGCUCCCUCCCUCUCAGGGAUCCAGUCCAUGGUCUCUGUUAAGCGCUUUGUUCCCUUGCUCUG